AGGUCAUUUCAAAGAGGUCGUGUGGCCCCGAGACCGGGAGGUCUGAAUGCUGUGACCCAAGAUUAAGAUUCUCCACGAAAUGCCACAGUCACUCAGUAGUGCCAUGUUUCUGCUUUUUUUUUU
This 123-nucleotide small nucleolar RNA is filed under the name Echinops telfairi (small Madagascar hedgehog). RNAcentral's name for it is "Small nucleolar RNA SNORA25 (ENSETEG00000025085.1)". The record is from RNAcentral. Lineage: Eukaryota; Metazoa; Chordata; Mammalia; Afrosoricida; Tenrecidae.